AAAGAAAGAAAGAUCUACAUGUCACCCACCUUCUGGCAACCCAAGACCUUGCAGCUCCAGGGGCAGCACAAACCCCCUCCAAAGAGCGUGCCCAGAAGGAACACACUUGAGCACUAGGCUGUCAUCAAAUCCCCUUGACCACGGAGUCGGCUGGGAGGAAGACAAGACAGCAGUACGCUGGUGUUUACUGUGGGUGUCCAGUCCAGCAAGCACCAGAUCAAACAGGCUGUGAAGCCUCUAUGACACUGAUGUAGUCAAAGUCAAUACCCUGCUAAGACCCGAUGGAGAGAAGAAGGCCUGGCUGGAUGUUGACAACAAAACUGGGAUUGUC
This 331-nucleotide long non-coding RNA is filed under the name Mus musculus (house mouse). RNAcentral describes it as "long non-coding RNA chr2:143877948-143878279". The record is from RNAcentral. Lineage: Eukaryota; Metazoa; Chordata; Mammalia; Rodentia; Muridae.